CACCGCGGUUAUACGAGAGGCUCAAGCUGAUAGACACCGGCGUAAAGAGUGGUUAAAAACAGUAAAACUAAAGCUAAACACCUUCAAGGCCGUUAUACGCAACCGAAGACAGGAGAAACCCCCACGAAAGUGGCUUUAAAAUCAUUGAACCCACGAAGAUUAGGAUA
Molecule: ribosomal RNA, 167 nt
Filed under: Odontobutis obscura
Lineage: Eukaryota; Metazoa; Chordata; Actinopteri; Gobiiformes; Odontobutidae
Description: partial 12S rRNA
Source: RNAcentral